ACAGUGGCUAGGAGACUUCGGUGACUUCCUUGCUACAUCCAAGCUGCGGAGCUAUAUGACCAACCCAUCGCCACCGGGACGCAAUGCGCAAGACGCUCUGGAGGAAGAUGCCCAGGCGCUUGGCUACCUGCGUCUAUCCUGCGAACUGCCAGUAAAGCAGUUGCUCAGGAACUGUCAGACGACCCUCGCCGCCAUGCAGCUCUUACAGCUGCAGUUCCGUUCUGCCUCUCAGGCCGGGCUAAGCCUGCUGGAGCCGCAGAAGCAACUGCGCAUGGGCGACGACGAGACGACCGCUGACUUCAUUCAGCGGGCGGAGCAGCUCUGCAGCGACAUUAUCUCGGCAGGCGGCCAGUGGGACGAGGGUGCUAUGCGUCACGCCAUUCUCCACGGCCUGCCUCCUCAGUACGCUAUCACUGUCGAGUUCGCGAUGUAUUUGCCCAACUUGACUACCCCGCAGCUCGUGUUCAUGCUGCGGGAGAAGGAGAACAACCUGAAGGCCCAAGCAGUCAAGUCCGGCCUGGUUGGAGCUGUUGGCCCUGGUCGCACCGCCCGUGGAGUCCGCGGUGCUGCCGGCGCCUCGGGCGCCGCGGGGGCCAACGACACCUGCCGCUACUGUGGACAGCCUGGGCACUAUGUCCGUGAAUGCCCCGUUAAGCUGGCGGACGUGUCCGUAGGCCUCUACCGCAGCAAUGCGUUUGAGCAGCCACGCAGUACUGGCGCCGGCAGCAGUGGCAGCGGCAACCGCCAACGUGAUGGCGGCGGCGGAGGUACCAGCGGCGGCAAUAACAGCGGGGGCGACAGGACGCGCGAACGCGGCCGUUUUAGACGCGGCAACGGCCGCCGCAGCGGCAGCGACACUGCUGGCGGAAGCAGUGGCGGCGGCGGUGGCGGUGUAAGCUCACGCCAGAACCGUGCCACGGUGCUGGUCGUCGGUGGCAGUGGCAACAGUUCAGCAGUAGUCCUAGACUCUGGUUCGCCUUACCACCUUACAGGUGACCGCUCACUGUUACAUAAUUACGUUCCUGCCGGCGCGCCCAAGCAAAUCAAGUGGGGGAACAACCAGCUAGCCGACGUCAUGGGAACAGGGCAGCUGCUCCUACGGACGCGCGAUGGAGAAUCCAUCUGGCUACGCAACGUGCUCCAUGUCCCCAGCUCGGGACUAACGCUCAUGUCUGUCGACCUUCUCGUGACACGCGGCUGCUCAGUCACGUUCGGCACGGACAAGGCGGGAACCUACCUAGGACCGGAGCGCGGCACGGCCGCCCACCGCGUCCUCGUUGACGGUAAGGUGACUGUUAGCAGCGACGUCACCUUCGACGACGACCUCCGCGGCCUGGCGUCUCAACGGGCGGGCACCUCCUUCGGCGCUGGCCCCGCCCGUCCUGGCAGCGGCGACCCCGUCGGCGGCUCUACACAGCCCGCCACACCGCCGCCUCCAGUGGUUGCAUCGCCCCCAGUGAACCCAGCGCCCCCCCCCCGCCCCAACACACGCAGCCAACGGCAACCUCUUCACCCGCCGCUGGCCACGGUCUGCCCAGCCAACAACAGCAGCGGCGGCGGCGGAGAUUUGGGCAGUCCACCGCUGCUUAACAAAGCGUCGGGAAGCACAAAUUAUGCUGAGGCAGGCGACGGCAAUGCGGGCGGCGGAGGCAACAGCGCGGUGCAGGAGCCGCGCAGUUAUGAGGAAGCGGUGGCGAGUCCGCAAGCGGACAAGUGGAGAACUUCGAUGGAUGACGAGAUUCUGUCGCAGCUCUCCAACAAGACCUGGGAGUUGGGCACGCCGCCACCCGGUGCACGCAUCCUGGACUGUCGCUGGGUCUACAAAAUCAAACAGGAGCCAGGCGGUGAGGUACGCUACAAGUCGCGUUUAGUGGUGANNNNNNNNNNNNNNNNNNNNNNNNNNNNNNNNNNNNNNNNNNNNNNNNNNUGGAGCGAGCGUGGGCAUUACGUCAUGGACGUGGACCUGCUGGCGCCGACCAAACGCGCCGUCAGUGCGCUCGGCGCUGCGGAAGACAGAGCCGGCGGAGGUACCAGCGCUAGCAGAUUUGCCGCCGGCGCCAGCAGCAGUGACGCCGGCGGGGACCAGCCGAACGGCGCCGGCAGCAGUGACACCGGCGGAGACCAGUCGAACGGCGCCAGCAACGGCCAAGGGCAGCUGGGCGCCCUUGAGUGCUCAGCCGCCGAACUCGCAGCAGCACAGCGCCUGCACCGCCAGUUCGGCCACCUUGGUUACCGGGCGUUGGAGCAGCUUAUCACCAAGCAGCUGGUACAUGGACCACGGGUCACUCCCGCGGCGCUGCGUCAGGCGGCAGAGGGUGUCUGCGAAGCCUGUGUCACAGCGAAGACUACAGCUACAGCUCACGUCAGCCGCGGUAACCGGCCUCAGCAUGUCCUGGAGGUCGUACACUCUGACCUGUGCGGGCCCAUGCCGACCACGGGCCGAGGAGGGGCUCGCUACUUGCUAACGCUGCUGGACGGUGCCUCCGGUCUGUCUGCCGUUCGCACACUGGUUAGCAAGAACCAAGUGGGCGAAGCGCUGCAGGACAUGGUGACGCAGCUGGAGGCUCGCAACCCGAACGGUGCACGGGUCCGCACCCUUCAUAGUGAUAACGGUGGCGAGUUUGUCGCCGAGCAGCUGGCACAGUGGCUACGCCAGCGCGGCACUGCGCAUACCCACUCGGCGCCGUACACUCCGGAGCAGAACGGCGCAGCGGAGCGGCUCAAUCGCACGCUCCUCGACUGUGUGCGGGCUAUGCUGUACGAUGCCGCGCUCCCGGACAGCUUUUGGUCGGAAGCUGUGCUAUACGCCAACCUCCUGCGCAAUGUUUCCCCCUCUCAGGGCCGGGAGGCUACGCCGUGGGCAACUUAUCAUGGCGUCACCCCCGACGUCAGUCACCUGCACACCUUCGGCUGCCUGGCAUACGUCCGCGUCCCAACCAGCCAGCAGGUUAAGCUCGGUCCCCGCGCAGAGGCGGGAACCUACCUAGGACCGGAGCGCGGCACGGCCGCCCACCGCGUCCUCGUCGACGGUAAGGUGACUGUUAGCAGCGACGUCACCUUCGACGACGACCUCCGCGGCCUGGCGUCUCAACGGGCGGGCACCUCCUUCGGCGCUGGCCCCGCCCGUCCUGGCAGCGGCGACCCCGUCGGCGGCUCU
Molecule: long non-coding RNA, 3157 nt
Filed under: Volvox carteri
Lineage: Eukaryota; Viridiplantae; Chlorophyta; Chlorophyceae; Chlamydomonadales; Volvocaceae
Description: long non-coding RNA (VCAR_LNC003500)
Source: RNAcentral